This 440-nucleotide ribosomal RNA is filed under the name uncultured bacterium. RNAcentral's name for it is "partial 16S ribosomal RNA". It matches the Rfam family "Bacterial small subunit ribosomal RNA", at positions 338 to 795 of the family's 1533-position model. The record is from RNAcentral.
CCUACGGGUGGCUGCCGUGGGGAAUCUUGCACCAUGGGCGAACCCCUGCCGCCGCAACGCCGCGUGAGUGAAGAAGCAUUUCGGUAUGUAAAGCUCUAUCAGCAGGGAAGAAGAUGACGGUACCUGAGUAAGAAGCCCCGGCUAACUACGUGCCAGCAGCCGCGGUAAUACGUAGGGGGCAAGCGUUAUCCGGAUUUACUGGGGGUAAAGGGAGCGUAGACGGUGAGGAAAGUCUGGAGUGAAAGCCCGGGGCUGAACCCCGGGACUGCUUUGGAGAGUUGCUGGCUGGAAUGCGGGAGAGGCAAGAGGAAUUCCUGGUGUAGCGGUGAAAUGCGUAGAUAUUAGGAAGAACACCAGUGGCGAAGGCGGCUUGCUGGACAGUAACUGACGUUGAGGCUCGAAAGCGUGGGGAGCAAACAGGAUUAGAUACCCCAGUAGUC